This 253-nucleotide ribosomal RNA is filed under the name uncultured bacterium. Its description in RNAcentral is "partial 16S ribosomal RNA". It matches the Rfam family "Bacterial small subunit ribosomal RNA", at positions 524 to 776 of the family's 1533-position model. The record is from RNAcentral.
UACGUAGGGCGCAAGCGUUAUCCGGAAUUAUUGGGCGUAAAGAGCUCGUAGGCGGUUUGUCGCGUCUGCCGUGAAAGUCCGGGGCUCAACUCCGGAUCUGCGGUGGGUACGGGCAGACUAGAGUGAUGUAGGGGAGACUGGAAUUCCUGGUGUAGCGGUGAAAUGCGCAGAUGUCAGGAGGAACACCGAUGGCGAAGGCAGGUCUCUGGGCAUUAACUGACGCUGAGGAGCGAAAGCAUGGGGAGCGAACAGG